GAUGAACGCUGGCGGCGUGCCUAAUACAUGCAAGUCGAGCGAACGGACGAGAAGCUUGCUUUUCUGAUGUUAGCGGCGGACGGGUGAGUAACACGUGGAUAACCUACCUAUAAGACUGGGAUAACUUCGGGAAACCGGAGCUAAUACCGGAUAAUAUUUUGAACCGCAUGGUUCAAAAGUGAAAGACGGUCUUGCUGUCACUUAUAGAUGGAUCCGCGCUGCAUUAGCUAGUUGGUAAGGUAACGGCUUACCAAGGCAACGAUGCAUAGCCGACCUGAGAGGGGGAACGGCCACACUGGAACUGAGAAACGGUCCAGACUCCUACGGGAGGCAGCAGUAGGGAAUCUUCCGCAAUGGGCGAAAGCCUGACGGAGCAACGCCGCGUGAGUGAUGAAGGUCUUCGGAUCGUAAAACUCUGUUAUUAGGGAAGAACAUAUGUGUAAGUAACUGUGCACAUCUUGACGGUACCUAAUCAGAAAGCCACGGCUAACUACGUG
This 497-nucleotide ribosomal RNA is filed under the name uncultured bacterium. RNAcentral describes it as "partial 16S ribosomal RNA". It matches the Rfam family "Bacterial small subunit ribosomal RNA", at positions 28 to 507 of the family's 1533-position model. The record is from RNAcentral.